CCUACGGGGGGCAGCAGUGGGGAAUAUUGGGCAAUGGGCGCAAGCCUGACCCAGCAACGCCGCGUGAAGGAAGAAGGCUUUCGGGUUGUAAACUUCUUUUCUGAGGGACGAAGAAAGUGACGGUACUUCAGGAAUAAGCCACGGCUAACUACGUGCCAGCAGCCGCGGCAAUACGUAGGUGGCAAGCGUUAUCCGGAUUUAUUGGGUGUAAAGGGCGUGUAGGCGGGAAAGCAAGUCAGAUGUGAAAACUCAGGGCUCAACCCUGAGCCUGCAUUUGAAACUGUUUUUCUUGAGUGCUGGAGAGGCAAUCGGAAUUCGGUGUGUAGCGGUGAAAUGCGUAGAUAUACGGAGGAACACCAGUGGCGAAGGCGGAUUGCUGGACAGUAACUGACGCUGAGGCGCGAAAGCGUGGGGAGCAAACAGGAUUAGAUACCCCAGUAGUC
RNAcentral lists this ribosomal RNA (443 nucleotides) under uncultured bacterium. RNAcentral describes it as "partial 16S ribosomal RNA". It matches the Rfam family "Bacterial small subunit ribosomal RNA", at positions 338 to 795 of the family's 1533-position model. The record is from RNAcentral.